This is a long non-coding RNA of Fundulus heteroclitus (mummichog), 1242 nucleotides long. RefSeq lists it as uncharacterized. NCBI's taxonomy places the organism in Eukaryota, Metazoa, Chordata, Actinopteri, Cyprinodontiformes, Fundulidae. The record is from RefSeq and is a predicted model, not a curated record. The transcript is spliced from 3 exons.
UCAUCCUGAACCUGCCAGCGAGGUGGUGGUACGAAAAGCCAAAACUGUGUAAAAAACAUGUCUGCAGUCCACACUCUAAAGAGCUUACACAGGACCACUUCCUGAUCCCAACGUCUUGGAAUUGGAAGAAAACCUACGCUAGCUGAAAGGGGUUCAAGCAGAAGACGGCUGUCCUGUCUAAACAUUUUCAGGUCUUUAUUUGAGGCCGUGGUCACGAUGCGUGUUAGGACCACGACUCCUUUGGGGAAGUUUCCGCCUGGAUCAACAGUGAUCCUUCUUCAAUGGAGGUCGCACUAUGGCUAUAAGGGAGCAAAGGUUCCCUCCGCUUUUUGCAGCCCGGCUUCCAUUAGCAAUCUGUUAGCCGCAGUCCGCUGAGAGGGAUGCCGGCCUGAAGCGGCAGCUCCUGGGAGAGCGCAGAAAUACAAAGCCACACUCGCUCUCAGGCUCAGGGCACAGAGCUUGUUUGAUGAAAAAGAACAAUUAAGGGAGAAAUGAGGGAGAAUCAUCGGGGGAAAUGGUUGAUGAAGACUUUAUUGAUUAGAACGGCUCCACUGAUCCAGCUCUCAUUGUAGCAAUUACCACUAGCUGCUAGCGAAAGUGGGGGGCCUCACGGUGCAGGGGCCUAUCGGAAGACAGUGAUGCUGCAGACGUAAAACCAAGGAAGCAUUUGUAGCCACACAGCCACGCUAUAUCCUAAAAGAAUUAGAGGGUAGAAGAAGACGUCAGCAUUGCAAAACAAGUGUAGCUAGGUUUCUGCUUUAUAACAACAUAAAUAAAUAUAUUUAUUUGCUGAAACAUACACUGCACUACAUACCUGCAGAAUAAGACAAAGUCUUCCUCACUUAUAUUUUUGUCUCUCCUUUACAUACACACACAAACAUCAAUGACUAAUUCAAAUCCCUGUGAAUGGAGCAAUAAAAUCUAAUAGGGGCGCAUCUGAGCAAACAGAGACCUACCAGAGAGCUCGCUCGUUGUUCGUUUGUUUGCUCAGCUCAGACAGCAUGUUAUUUGUAUUUAAAUGCCACUGAUGCCUGCUCUCAGACCGACACUGACAAUGCGGAGACGGCAGACACUUCCAUGGGGGACUGUUGAUCUGCUUCCCAAAACGCAGAAACAUGUUCUAUGGUUACAGAUUACCAGUACUGGAGCAGGAAGAUCUUUGGAAGAAGGAACAUGUUGCUGCCUAUUGUGUAGAGAGAUUUUGCACUGCAAGGCAUGUAAAUAUGUACAAUUACAACAGGA